Molecule: small nucleolar RNA, 97 nt
Organism: Malania oleifera
Lineage: Eukaryota; Viridiplantae; Streptophyta; Magnoliopsida; Santalales; Ximeniaceae
Product: small nucleolar RNA snoR109
Exons: 1
Source: RefSeq, a predicted model, not a curated record
UGGCUGUAGCUAAACCGACGCGAGAAGUUUACUGGCCGUUUGUCGCGAAAUCUUCUGAUCUCCGUCGGCAAAUCCGCUUACCGAACUUCGCACACUC